AAGUUAUCCUGGCUCAGGACGAACGCCUGGCGGCGUGCCUAAUACAUGCAAGUCGAGCGGACAGAAGGGAGCUUGCUCCCGGAUGUUAGCGGCGGACGGGUGAGUAACACGUGGGUAACCUGCCUGUAAGACUGGGAUAACUCCGGGAAACCGGAGCUAAUACCGGAUAGUUCCUUGAACCGCAUGGUUCAAGGAUGAAAGACGGUUUCGGCUGUCACUUACAGAUGGACCCGCGGCGCAUUAGCUAGUUGGUGAGGUAACGGCUCACCAAGGCGACGAUGCGUAGCCGACCUGAGAGGGUGAUCGGCCACACUGGGACUGAGACACGGCCCAGACUCCUACGGGAGGCAGCAGUAGGGAAUCUUCCGCAAUGGACGAAAGUCUGACGGAGCAACGCCGCGUGAGUGAUGAAGGUUUUCGGAUCGUAAAGCUCUGUUGUUAGGGAAGAACAAGUGCAAGAGUAACUGCUUGCACCUUGACGGUACCUAACCAGAAAGCCACGGCUAACUACGUGCCAGCAGCCGGGAUAAA
RNAcentral lists this ribosomal RNA (531 nucleotides) under Bacillus pumilus. RNAcentral describes it as "bacterial SSU rRNA". It matches the Rfam family "Bacterial small subunit ribosomal RNA", at positions 9 to 524 of the family's 1533-position model. Lineage: Bacteria; Bacillati; Bacillota; Bacilli; Caryophanales; Bacillaceae. The record is from RNAcentral.